Molecule: microRNA precursor, 59 nt
Filed under: Oreochromis niloticus (Nile tilapia)
Lineage: Eukaryota; Metazoa; Chordata; Actinopteri; Cichliformes; Cichlidae
Description: microRNA oni-mir-10966 precursor
Source: miRBase by way of RNAcentral
CACAUGCUCAUUGACUAAUGACGUAUGAUUGACAACUCGUUAGCCAAUGAGCAUGCGUU